AUUGAACGCUGGCGGCAUGCUUUACACAUGCAAGUCGAACGGUAACAGGCCUUCGGGCGCUGACGAGUGGCGAACGGGUGAGUAACGCAUCGGAACGUGCCCAGUCGUGGGGGAUAACGCAGCGAAAGCUGCGCUAAUACCGCAUACGCCCUGAGGGGGAAAGCGGGGGACCUUCGGGCCUCGCGCUGGUGGAAGAGCCUACGUCCGAUUAGCUAGUUGGUAGGGUAAAAGCCUACCAAGGCGACGAUCGGUAGCUGGUCUGAGAGGAUGAUCAGCCACACUGGGACUGAGACACGGCCCAGACUCCUACGGGAGGCAGCAGUGGGGAAUAUUGGACAAUGGGCGCAAGCCUGAUCCAGCAAUGCCGCGUGGGUGAAGACGGCCUGCGGGUUGUAAAGCCCUUUAAGUGGGGAGGAACGGUUGGGUGUGAAUAGCGCCUGAUUAUGACGUUACCCACAGAAUAAGCACCGGCUAACUCCGUG
RNAcentral lists this ribosomal RNA (482 nucleotides) under uncultured bacterium. Its description in RNAcentral is "bacterial SSU rRNA". It matches the Rfam family "Bacterial small subunit ribosomal RNA", at positions 29 to 507 of the family's 1533-position model. The record is from RNAcentral.